UUUACUGUCUGUGAGGACUUUAAACUUUUUUCCCCAUCAGAGUGACUGUGUUGAUUUCUUUGCUGUUAGCCAGGGUCUGUCUGAGGCACUGGG
Molecule: small nucleolar RNA, 93 nt
Filed under: Salvator merianae (Argentine black and white tegu)
Lineage: Eukaryota; Metazoa; Chordata; Lepidosauria; Squamata; Teiidae
Description: Small nucleolar SNORD12/SNORD106 (ENSSMRG00000013315.1)
Rfam family: Small nucleolar SNORD12/SNORD106
About the family: This family belong to the C/D class of snoRNA which contain the C (UGAUGA) and D (CUGA) box motifs.
Source: Rfam by way of RNAcentral